GACGAACGCUGGCGGCGUGCUUAACACAUGCAAGUCGAACGAAGUGGCGAACGGGUGAGUAACGCGUAAUCAACCUGCCCUUCAGAGGGGGACAACAGUUGGAAACGACUGCUAAUACCGCAUACUGAAGGAGGGGAUUGCGUGUGAUUAGCUAGUUGGAGGGGGAACGGCCCACCAAGGCGAAGAUCACUAGCCGGACUGGGAGGUUGGACUGCCACAUUGGGACUGAGACACGGCCCCGACUCCUUCGGGAGGCAGCAGUGGGGAAUCUUCCGGAAUGGGCGAAAGUCUGGCGGAGCCACGCCGCGUGAGUGAUGACGGCCUUCGGGUUGUAAAGCUCUGUUAAUCGGGACGCGGUACCGGAAUAGAAAGCCACGGCUAACUACGUGCCAGCAGCCGCGGUAAUAC
Molecule: ribosomal RNA, 408 nt
Filed under: uncultured bacterium
Lineage: Bacteria
Description: partial 16S ribosomal RNA
Rfam family: Bacterial small subunit ribosomal RNA
Source: RNAcentral